This 41-nucleotide ribosomal RNA is filed under the name Albinaria cretensis. RNAcentral's name for it is "partial 5.8S ribosomal RNA". Lineage: Eukaryota; Metazoa; Mollusca; Gastropoda; Stylommatophora; Clausiliidae. The record is from RNAcentral.
UAACUUUGAGCGGUGGAUCACUCCGCUCGUGCGUCAAUGAA